AGGAACCUCGCGUGUUUCUCAGACGUCACCCACCUUGGAGGAACCCGAGUUCGCAGCCCUUCUGAGCGACCUGCGGACAUACCUGCCAAUGGUGACGGGCGCGCCGGGGGUUCCUGGCAAUCCCGAUGCAGGCCUCGGGUCUCAGGAGGCGCUGACAUUAAAACAGCGGACAGCCCGGCACUCCAGGCACGUGGGAAAGCCGCGCAGGUGCCACGACCUCCUUAGAUGCUGUUUCCGGUGUGAAACGGUUUUCUAAAAUGUAAACGAGGCGUUGUAAAGCCCCUGUUUCUUCUAACUCUGCAGCGCCUGGCGGACCCGGGCACGGAGGUGACACGCUCCGGCUGCCUCCGCUCGUUUUUGUCCUUUUUGUCUGCGGCGCCCCCUCCUCCGUCCACCCCCACUGCGUUCAGAACGGCCGUUAACGAGGCGCUCUAAUUAGCAGCGCUUUGAGGUGAGCUUGGACACUUGAAGUAGUUCUCGCUCCCCAGGCUUUCUUCCUCGGUAAUAAUUAAACACUGAGGACCAGAUAUUCAAACGGCUUCGCUGAGACGACGGCCGCCGUUCCCUGGAAAUGUCAGGAGUGCACGAGGUGCGAGUCUUCAAAGCACCCCUGGAAAGUUUGCAGGCUCACGAUGCGGCAUCGAGAAUUUCAAUGAGAACUGUUUCAAAGGACCAAGAAACAGGAAUUUACGCAGGUCGGAAGAAAAUACGUUGGUUACAGUUACAAUAAAGAUCUUAACUAUGUUCAAAAUACGUUGCUUACAAGAAGGGAGUUCGUUUUUCUUAAUCUCCAAGUGCACAUUAUGUAUUUCAUUUGCGUCACAUUUGGGUAAUGUUUCAUAAAGGCGGCUGACAGGAGAAUUUAAAAUUAAACGGAGGUUAUCUGCGUCCCACACCUGCAGGGUGGAAGGAGGUUUAACCUGGUCCAGCAGCUAACCCCACACAGGACGCCUCGCGGUGGGAGAAAUCCGCCGUGGUGAGAGCAGUCGCUACCAAACAGACAGCCGCUGUGCAUGGGGCUGGAUUUAUUGUUUUUUUGAUCAUCUAGACUUGAAAGAGUAACGGAUACGACUCUAAGAUGUGGUGUUUCUACAGCCAUCACAUUGCAAAUGGCACAGAAACUAAGGGAGCAUUCUUUUAAUCCAAAGAGAUGGCAGAACUCGGCAAAGAACUUGCUCUCGUCGUUGCACUGAUGAACAAGUCCCAACACAUGUCUUCGCUGUUUCACUUUUGUCUUGUUAAUAUAAAUAAGAGAUCAACCAACGUUCACGUCAGGACUUCAGUUCAUUACGUGUGUGUGUUUUGUUUCCCAUGGAGGCACCGCUGAAUCUCUCGGUUAGAUCCUGCUGACGGGUUUGAACGCUCUACGCAAGCACUUCCCACAGGAACACCAACACGUGUUCUCUCGGCGGGAGAGGAGAGCCAAGUGCUGUCCAAAGUGACUGUUGAUCAGCUCCACGCCCUCCGUCAGUUCGCACCUUUUCAUUCUGACUCUCCGCGAGGUUCCUGUGUCUCUGCGAAGAGCUGCUCAUCCCGUCAGUCAAUCUUAUUUUGUUUUUGUUGUCCUGUCUGUGUCUCCAGAGAUCUUUCUAAUUUCUGCAUCAUAACUACUCACUGCUUCCUUACUGCUACCUUCUCCUGUCCUCAUCUCUCAAACCGCAAGGACCUGGAUGGCAGGCAGGCAAACCGAGGUGUACACAACCGAGGCAGGGCCGCAUCUUCUCGGGCGGGAGCAGGACUGCCAAGGAAAGGGGGACCAGUGGCCUGGGAGUCUCCAACCCUCUGCUGCAACUAAAGAGGAAAAUAUGCUUUUGACUUAACGCUGACAACGGGCUGUCUGGUGGUGGGCAGGAUUUGCAGCCUGUAUCCCAGGUCUUCCAGAUUUGGGGGUGGGUCGGGCCGUAGGCACAGAGGACUGUGAUUGUCCCUCCCUGGCAAACCCCUCCUGGCUCUCUCUUAGGGUCUCCAGCAUGCCUCACCUCGAGUGAGGACCUUGAGAUGACCCUCUGGGCCCUGCUUUUCUCUCCCCAUCCCCUGGGGUUGUUUCUGAUGCUGGUGCCUAGAUCAGCAGCUCUAACACCAGUGCCCCACACAGGUGGGCAUCGGGCUGCGGCCCGUAGACACUGCUCACAACCACCAAUGCCACCUGCCAGGGCUGCUGUGGUCCAGACACAGGAGGAGCCGCUGGUGCCAAGUCAGUUGGUAGCUGGCCCUUUCCAGGAGCCUCAGAGAAAAUGGGUUCAGUUUCCCUGUUGAUCAGCCUUCCCAGAGGGAGGUGGGCAGGAACCCAGGUGGCCUGGGCUGCAGGAUUCGGAACCCCUCCCCCUUCUUUGGUGAAUCAUAAAACUUAAUCCCAGGGCCCCAGGGGGCUUCUGGAGGCACACACACUUGGGCCCUCCCACAUGCCCAGGUUUCUAGCCCUCAGGGGCCUCCGCCCAGGGACCCUCCUUGGGUCCUGUGACUGUGAGAGGCCCCCCGUUAGAGGAGACAGCCCUCAACUACCUCAGAGUCGGGCUGUGUUUCACCCAGGUUCAUGUGUUUCUCCACCGACAACUGUGAUGGGCUGAAUCGUUCCCCCAAAAAGUUAUAUAUCGACGUCCUCACUCCCCACACCUCAAAUGCCGACUGUAUCUGAAGACAGUCUUUAAAGAGGUGAUUAGCUGAAAAUGAGAUUAUACAGACGGCCCCUAAUCCAAUCCAGAGGUGUCCUGAUAAGAAGGAGAAGUUCGCACACCGACAAGCAGGGCCACAACCCGGUGACGACCCGGGAAGACAGACUCGCUGUCUGAGCCCAGGAGAGAGGCCCCUCGAGGAACCACCUGCGGACAGCUUACCCUCGGGGAGCAGCUUCCAGAACUGCGAGGGAAUAAAGGCCGUGUUUAAGGCCCCGUCGGUGGUGCUUUGUCAUAGAAGCCAAGCGUAGGAACGCAGCCACCAAAUGUCCCCAAGCACAUGUCUGUCUCCAGGGCCUGUGCGUUUGCAGCCCCUGAGGACCAGGGUUGCACAGUUUGGAUCACGUCAGAGCAUGUGUCCAUCCAUAACUUAUCACAGCAUUAUGUCCACGGAUGUUCCAUUGCUCACAGUACCUGACUCACAACAUGCACAGCUUUGAAAGGAGCCGUGUGUUCAGCCUGGAUCCAGGUGAUCGAUCGGGAGCCCAGAUCCAAGAUGAAGCAGGAACAGAAGCUCUUGACUGUCACACAAAGUCAAAGCGUGAGCAGGUCAUGUGGACGCUUCUGAGGCCACAGGAAGGCGUGAGGAAAGACCUGAAUGGAAAUCUCAUUUCCAUUCAGUAGGUGGGCAUAUUACAAACAAAGGGAACAGGUGCCAAAUCAGAGUCGGAGGGAGUCAGCUGCACCUUCACUCUGACCUGAACAUAGCCGGAGGUGUGGGCCCCACGGCCGGCACCCCAUUUAAAGACUCUGAGACUAGGUGGGGCCGGGCAACACAGCAAGUGUCCUGAGUGCUGGGGACUGGCCUUUCCAUCGCUGCACUCGCUGUACCACACAGACCACAGGCGCGGGGGCGGGGAGCCUUUCCACCGCAUUUUUACGAAAUGAGCCCCCUUUCAAAGUGAAACAGUAUUAUGGAUCAAAGCGUAGGUGGCUCCAUAUGUAAGGAAGAAACAGCCGGUGUCACCCUGGGCCACUCACACACGCUGCAUGGACGCCCCCUCUCAUUAAAAACGGGUCGGAUUGCAUUCCAGGCCCAGCCUGCAAAGUUAAUGACAAGCUGGCAACAAAGCAGCUUGUGAGCCUUGUACUACAACGUGAUUACCUACCUGCUUCUUAUGAGUGGGUCUGAGCAGCGCCCGGCCGGCUGGUAUUUGACCCACAGACAGGGAAGUUCCCAGGCGCUGCGAGGCUGACUCACUUCAAAGUCCUCGCCCUGCUGGCUUGGUUUACACCUGAGCCAAUUAGCUCGGGCAUCAGAAGAGGCCUGAAAACGGAGCCAAGCCCUUAUUCCCGGGCUGGAGAAAGUCACUUGAUCCCAGUAAGUUGGAAUUACACUCCCGAAAUCCACGGUAAAUUGGGAUUACACCCCCGAAAUCCACGGAGCCCAGGCUCUGGGGAGCUGGACGGACCACACAGGAGUCCAGAGCCCUCAGCCUGACGAGACCCAGCCUCCCUCCAUGGCUGCUUCCCGGCGGACCCACCACCUACUUGUCACGAAGGCAGGGAGCAUCACUGGCCUGAGCCAGCUUGCAGUGGGGAGGGUCCCCAGGGCAGAGGCCAGUGCAGAUCCCCAACAGCAGCAGGGUGGGCGGCUCCAGGAAGCAAAGCCAUCUACCGAAGGAAAGGGCCCAGAAAGGGAAUCAUGUGGCUUGGACACGCAGCAGCACCCGGAUCUCUAACUGGAGCCCACACUCCCUGGGCCCCUGCUUCAGAAUACCUGGUCUCCUGUCCGUCUUUUGAGCUGGAAGUGGUGCCAAUUACUAUGAUAUUAACUCCAGCAAACAGCAGUUAAUAAGCACUUCCAGUGACGUGUCAAGGGCCUCUAUAUUUGGAGAGCAGGAGGCAUAUUUCCCACUAUACCACCUGCCAUGGACUGCAGGAGUCCCCGCAGCAUUCUGUGGUGAGCUUGUCACCCCCAGUGUGAUGCCUCUGGGCAUGAUGAGGUCAGCAGGGUGGAGCCUCACAAAUGGGAUCAGUGCCCUCACCGACGAGGCCCCUGGAGCUCUCCUGCUUCCUCUGCUGCGUGAAAACACGUGAGAAGUCAGCAGCUGCAGGAGGCCCCCAUCGGAGCCCAGCCCUGCUCAUGCCCUGAUCUCCGACUUCCAGCCUCCAUAACCGAGAAAUACGUGUCUGUUCUUUAAAAGUCACCUGCUCCGUGGUGUUUUGUUACAGAUCCCAAACUAGGACACCACCCAUGAAAUUCACAUACCCCUUGUUCAUGGACACCCGGAACUAAAUAAAUGUCAUUGAAUGUCUUGGGCCAUCCGGCAAAUGUCUCUGGGAAUGCAGACAUGAAUUCACCUCAGCAACAUACUCGCAUGUCAAAGUCUCAGGCAUGUAAUUGUUUAUCUGUACAGCGUAUCUCCUUAUGGUGGGUGCAAGAGAGGCGCACAGAUACACACACCCUGUGAUCCACAUAAGAGAGGCCUGGUAUUGCGUACCCAGGGCUGGUGCGUGCACACGUGUGUGUGUGUGUGUGUGUGGUGUGUGUGUGAGCCCGCUCCCACGUGCCGGGUUGGACGUGCACAGAUUCACAACACAGGUGCUCUCCUCACAGUCCCUCCAAAAAGGGGGAAGGAAAAAGGAAAGCAUCCGAAGAGGUGCGCUGGAGGCUGGAGGACUGCAAUCAGAUAAACCAGUGUUUCUUCAUCAUUGUACAUUUUUAAGUUAGGCGAAGAGACCACUGACCCCUUUCCAUGGAGCCCUAGACCUCCCCCGAGGCACUGAAAGAGACUUCAGCGACAGAGAUCCGCCCUACAAGGGGACCAGCGCUGGCGGCAGUGGCACCCCCUCCCACCGGGCAUCCUCCCAGGCCAUGAGACAUUUGAUUACAUGAAAUGUAAGGAAAUCACUUUUCCAGAUAAAAACUGUUCUUUGGCAGAUACCCUCUUCUCUU
Molecule: long non-coding RNA, 5571 nt
Organism: Callithrix jacchus (white-tufted-ear marmoset)
Lineage: Eukaryota; Metazoa; Chordata; Mammalia; Primates; Cebidae
Source: RefSeq, a predicted model, not a curated record